RNAcentral lists this ribosomal RNA (551 nucleotides) under uncultured bacterium. RNAcentral describes it as "bacterial SSU rRNA". It matches the Rfam family "Bacterial small subunit ribosomal RNA", at positions 353 to 896 of the family's 1533-position model. The record is from RNAcentral.
AGUGGGGAAUCUUCCACAAUGGGCGCAAGCCUGAUGGAGCAACGCCGCGUGAAUGAAGAAGGCCUUAGGGUCGUAAAGUUCUGUCCUUAGGGAAGAACCGUGGGUAUAGCAAAUGAUACCCACCUGACGGUACCUUUGGAGGAAGCACUGGCUAACUACGUGCCAGCAGCCGCGGUAAUACGUAGAGUGCAAGCGUUGUCCGGAAUUAUUGGGCGUAAAGGGUACGCAGGCGGAUAGUAAAGUCAAGCGUGAAAGGUGUCGGCUUAACCGACAGACUGCGUUUGAAACUGAUUAUCUUGAGUGUAACAGAGGAGAGUGGAAUUCCUAGUGUAGUGGUGAAAUACGUAGAUAUUAGGAAGAACACCAGUGGCGAAGGCGACUCUCUGGGUUAACACUGACGCUGAGGUACGAAAGCUGGGGGAGCGAACGGGAUUAGAUACCCCGGUAGUCCCAGCCGUAAACGAUGGAUACUAGGUGUUGGAGGUUCGAAUCCUUCAGUGCCGGAGUUAACGCAUUAAGUAUCCCGCCUGGGGAUUACGAUCGCAAGAUUG